UUUUUUAUUGUAUGGUUUGGUACUGUGGAUGAACUAACUCUCGUUUUAUGAAUUUAAUUUAAACACAUCUACCACCACUUUUUAAUGCUCACGGGUACUUAUUCUUAUGAUCUUAUUAAUUUGUUUGGAUGUAGAAUUUUUCAAAAGUCAGAAUCGGAGGAAUAUCUUCCAAUGUAUACAGAAAAAAUGUAUUUCAGUAACUCCUCCCUACAUUUCACAAGAAAUCACCUGCUCUGAAUGAAAAGGAAUGGAGUGAAAGGACAGCUUCUAAGGAUUUCUAGAAUGAUAUCAAAUGAUAUUUUUCAAAAAAUUACACUCUUUAAUAAAUUAUGUUUAUAGAUAGGGGACAGACUGCUGGAAGAUAGUAAGGGAGUGAUCACUAGGAGACCUACUGAUUUGUGCUUCUAUCCUCUUGUUUAGCAUGAAGAGAAGAAAGGAUGAGAGCACAGGGUCACGAUCCUCUAAUGUACUCUGCCUAGGAUUUUCCACUGAUGUCAAGGCAACACAAAAUAUUAUUAGACAACAUUGGCUUAUAACACUGAGUGGGGAUAUAGAUUGUUACAGCAGGACUUUGAAAGGGCUUGAUCUUGUAUGAAGAACCUCAGGUGCUGAUGUGAACACUCAUGCUUCUCAUGAUUAACGGCCUAAUCACUAAUGGCCUACUAUGAUUUUGGAGGCCUUCUAUGGAUGGUAACUAUUGGGAUUCGGCCAACAUGAAAAAAAAUGCUUUUUUGUUUUCCUGUGCUCAGGGGGUGCAUGCACCUUCUGCUGGUACAGAACACAGUGCCUGUCAUCAGCUUAAGAAAAUGUUUCUAGCACUGCGCAUCUCUGAUGUUUUCUCCUAUCUUGACCCUUAUAUUCACUGUGAAAAAUUUCUUGUAUUUAUUGCCUCAGAAAUAAAAACAGAAUUUUCCAAUCAUGAAGUAAUGUCCACGAAGGAGAAUAUAACUUAUGGUAGAACUUAGCAAGUAUGGUCAAUAUCCCUGUUUUAAUUAUGAAAUAUAUUUUCGUCAAAUGUCCUUUUAUAUCUUUAUAUGUAUGCAAAUUUAGUAUAGUGCAUGUGAGCUAUUUGCUUGUGCUUCACAGUUAUAUGAAUGUAAAGUUACAAUAUUAAAGCAAGGGGGAAGUGUGCUGAGAUGAAAACAGAUGUCCUGCAGAAUAUACUUUUUUGAAAGCCUUUUUAAUAUACAUUUACAGGCAUGGUACAUACAUUUGUUAUAUUUUCAUUGAUUGGGUUUUGAGGCUGCUGGUUUUCCUUCACUGUUUUGCAGUGUUGUGAGAUUUAUGAUGGUUGAUUUCCAUCCUCAGACAUGAAUUCAUGGCAUUGUCUCUGCUGUUUAUGAAAGGAGAAUGCCAGUCAUCGCCAUAAGUGGCAAAGCUUCUGCCUAGUUAUCCAUAGCUAUCCAUAGAUGAGGAAACAACAUAUGCCCCAGCCCUCUAGAGAUAGUGGUGGUUUAAGAUGCCCAGUGCAGGGAAGAAAAGUGCUCCAUACGAUUGCAGGACAUCAGUGGAGCCACACGUGAAAGGUGGGAGCUCAGAAGCCAGACAGCAGUCACUUUCUGCUCCCAUGAAAUCCUCCCAUAAGGCAGCAUCAUGAUGUUUGCAUUUUGCUAGCCUCCCUUAACUAUUGAGAGGGAUAAACGCUACCAUGUCCAAAUAUGAUAAGGAGAUAAGAGAUUUAGCCCUUUUAGUUACUUUGUCUAUCCCACCUGUCCCAUGGACAGGCAGCUGGAGUAAGUUCCCACUCAUUCUGCUCCUGUUCAAAGUUCCUCCACUUUGUCUAAUGGUCCCACUAGGGGACCAGGGAAAAACUCUUCUCCCAUGGUCUCCAUCCAAGCCUGUAAGAACUCCUUGACUGGAGGUGGAUGGCACAGUGGUGCAGCAGUAGCAUUGUCGCUUCACAGCAAGAGGUUCAGCAGUUUGAUUCUCAGCUGGAGUGGCUUCUACGCGGAGUCUGCACAUCAUCCCUACAUUUAUGUGAGUUUUCUCCGGGUGCACCAGUUUGGUCCCAUUUUACAAAGACAUGCACCUGGAGCAUUUCUGCCUGGGCCUCUGCUGAAAAUUGGCUUUGUUCCAAGUUGAACUUUCCCAGUAAACAAAUGUUAAAUAAAAUCUUUGGGUCCAGCAUUUCCUGUGCUGAAUCCUGAAAUUAUAGAUAUUCACAUCUGUUUGACCAGGCCUUUCUCAGUGGGUUUACAGCAUACUUUUAGAAACUUGAGUCGAUGCUAGUGUCAGGUCCUAUAGCAGCCCAGCCUUUUCUCUGCUAGUAGCACCAUUCUCUGGCUGUUCCCUAGGUGCUGAGGCCCUAGGGCCCUAGUACUCAACCACUUGAGGAACUAAUUAGUAUAGAGAUCCACCAAUUUCAGAACAAAUGUUAAAAGAAUCCUCUCUCCCGUUUUGGUUGUGAAAGAGACUGUGCAGAUUAGGAGAACCAUAUCUGAGUCCAUCAUUGGGUAAGUAGUGAAUAAAAAAUACAUUUUGAAGUGUGCCAGUGGAAUUAUGCAGCUAUAAUCUAUAGGCUGGAAGUUCUGUAUUCUUAACAAGUUUUGGAAAUAAAUGUUUUGUUUUAAUUCAGCUGACCUCGUGACUUGUUUAUUAAAGCACUUUUGCCUGAUGA
This is a long non-coding RNA of Protopterus annectens (West African lungfish), 2617 nucleotides long. RefSeq lists it as uncharacterized. The record is from RefSeq and is a predicted model, not a curated record. Lineage: Eukaryota; Metazoa; Chordata; Ceratodontiformes; Protopteridae. The transcript has 2 exons.